Molecule: ribosomal RNA, 253 nt
Filed under: uncultured bacterium
Lineage: Bacteria
Description: partial 16S ribosomal RNA
Rfam family: Bacterial small subunit ribosomal RNA
Source: RNAcentral
UACGGAGACUGCAAGCGUUAUUCGGAUUCACUGGGCGUAAAGGGUGCGCAGGCGGCCAAGUGUGUCAGAUGUGAAAUCCCGAGGCUUAACCUCGGAACUGCGUCUGAAACUACCUGGCUAGAGUGCUGGAGAGGGUAACGGAAUUCACGGUGUAGCAGUGAAAUGCGUAGAUAUCGUGAGGAACACCAGAGGCGAAGGCGGUUACCUGGACAGCUACUGACGCUCAGGCACGAAAGCGUGGGGAGCAAAAGGG